Molecule: long non-coding RNA, 242 nt
Filed under: Homo sapiens (human)
Lineage: Eukaryota; Metazoa; Chordata; Mammalia; Primates; Hominidae
Description: HSALNT0096785
Source: RNAcentral
AAACAAACGUCCAGGACUAAUUAAAAUCAGAACCCAGUAUCCGAUUAGCGCACGUUUGGCAGACCUUAGCUUUGGCAUUGUUUUCUGACCAGUUUACUGAUUAGUGUUUAUUACUAAUCAUCUGUGGCUGGAAACAUGACCCAGAGAGAAGAAAGACAAGGGCAACAGCAUGCAGUGACAUUGUUAGAAUUAUUCAAAGUGUUUUCAGCAGGAAUCACUCAACUCAAAUCCACAACCACAAC